CCGCGCGCGCCGGGCCGGCCUAUCCCGGCGGGCGCAGACCUCGCGUUGCCAUGGCGACGCGUGGAGGCCGCGAGGGCUUUGUCCCCGCCUGCGGAGCGCCGCUUGCUGCGCCCGGGCCUCCCUCUGCCCGCCGCUGACGGCGUGCGGGCGCGUCCCUCGUUUGCUGUUCAUGUAGUGCAAGAAAUGUGCUGUCACUGAGCGAGGCAGAGCAAGAGGCGGAAGCCAAAACUACCGCCGUAUACUUAACAGGAGAGCAGGAAGACAACAUGGUAAAAAAGGACCCAAGACAGUACAACCAUACCAAGUACCAUGGAGAGAAGGCUACAGGAAAGGGUAGUUGAAAUUUUUUGGAAAGCUCCAUGCUUAAUUGGUUCCUGAUCCAAGAAAGAUUUGGGCUCUGCUUAAGUUCUGGAUAAAACAGAAAGAGGUGGAGAGCUGACA
Molecule: long non-coding RNA, 441 nt
Organism: Leopardus geoffroyi (Geoffroy's cat)
Lineage: Eukaryota; Metazoa; Chordata; Mammalia; Carnivora; Felidae
Exons: 3
Source: RefSeq, a predicted model, not a curated record